This 1213-nucleotide ribosomal RNA is filed under the name Salmonella enterica subsp. enterica serovar Panama. RNAcentral's name for it is "partial 23S ribosomal RNA". It matches the Rfam family "Bacterial large subunit ribosomal RNA", at positions 522 to 1735 of the family's 2925-position model. Lineage: Bacteria; Pseudomonadati; Pseudomonadota; Gammaproteobacteria; Enterobacterales; Enterobacteriaceae. The record is from RNAcentral.
AACCCCGGCGAGGGGAGUGAAAAAGAACCUGAAACCGUGUACGUACAAGCAGUGGGAGCACCCUUUGGGGUGUGACUGCGUACCUUUUGUAUAAUGGGUCAGCGACUUAUAUUCUGUAGCAAGGUUAACCGUAUAGGGGAGCCGGAGGGAAACCGAGUCUUAACCGGGCGUUAAGUUGCAGGGUAUAGACCCGAAACCCGGUGAUCUAGCCAUGGGCAGGUUGAAGGUUGGGUAACACUAACUGGAGGACCGAACCGACUAAUGUUGAAAAAUUAGCGGAUGACCUGUGGCUGGGGGUGAAAGGCCAAUCAAACCGGGAGAUAGCUGGUUCUCCCCGAAAGCUAUUUAGGUAGCGCCUCGUGAAUUCAUCUCCGGGGGUAGAGCACUGUUUCGGCUAGGGGGCCAUCCCGGCUUACCAACCCGAUGCAAACUGCGAAUACCGGAGAAUGUUAUCACGGGAGACACACGGCGGGUGCUAACGUCCGUCGUGAAGAGGGAAACAACCCAGACCGCCAGCUAAGGUCCCAAAGUCAUGGUUAAGUGGGAAACGAUGUGGGAAGGCCCAGACAGCCAGGAUGUUGGCUUAGAAGCAGCCAUCAUUUAAAGAAAGCGUAAUAGCUCACUGGUCGAGUCGGCCUGCGCGGAAGAUGUAACGGGGCUAAACCAUGCACCGAAGCUGCGGCAGCGACACUCAGGUGUUGUUGGGUAGGGGAGCGUUCUGUAAGCCUGCGAAGGUGGCCUGUGAGGGUUGCUGGAGGUAUCAGAAGUGCGAAUGCUGACAUAAGUAACGAUAAAGCGGGUGAAAAGCCCGCUCGCCGGAAGACCAAGGGUUCCUGUCCAACGUUAAUCGGGGCAGGGUGAGUCGACCCCUAAGGCGAGGCCGAAAGGCGUAGUCGAUGGGAAACGGGUUAAUAUUCCCGUACUUGGUGUUACUGCGAAGGGGGGACGGAGAAGGCUAUGUUGGCCGGGCGACGGUUGUCCCGGUUUAAGCGUGUAGGUGUGUGUUCCAGGUAAAUCCGGUUCACUUUAACACUGAGGCGUGACGACGAGGCACUACGGUGCUGAAGCAACAAAUGCCCUGCUUCCAGGAAAAGCCUCUAAGCAUCAGGUAACAUCAAAUCGUACCCCAAACCGACACAGGUGGUCAGGUAGAGAAUACCAAGGCGCUUGAGAGAACUCGGGUGAAGGAACUAGGCAAAAUGGUGCCGUAACU